UCCGAAGGGCCAUCCAGACCAAGGGCAUCAAGUUCGAAGUGGUUCACAAGGGGUGAGCUAGAGAGAGCCAUGGCCACUGGGUGGGCUCCAGGGGAGGGGAGCUCCUCUGAACCAACCAUCCUGUCCCCACUACACACACAUGCACACAGGGGGCUGUUCAAGACUGACCGGGUGCUGGGGACAGCCCAGCUGAAGCUGGAUGCACUGGAGACAGCAUGUGAGGUCCGGGAGAUCCUUGAGGUCCUGGAUGGUCGCCGGCCCACAGGGGGGCGACUGGAGGUAAUGGUCCGGAUUCGGGAGCCACUGACAGCCCAGCAGUUGGAGACGACGACGGAGAGGUGGCUGGUCAUUGACCCUGUGCCGGCAGCUGUGCCCACAGUGAGACCCCCCCACCCCCACCCAUCAGCAACCCCAGGGAGGGAAGCUUGGUUCAGGGGCCCAGGACUCACAGGACUGGUUCUCUCCUCUGAAGCAGGUUGCUGGGCCCAAAGGGAAGGCCCCUCCUGUGCCUGCCCCUGCAAGGGAGUCAGGGAACAGAUCAGCCCGGCCCCUGCAUAGCCUCAGUGUGCUGGCGUUUGACCAAGAGCGUCUGGAGCGGAAGAUCCUGGCCCUCAGGCAGGCGCGGCGGCCGGUGCCCCCAGAAGUGGCCCAGCAGUACCAGGACAUCAUGCAACGCAGCCAGUGGCAGAGGGCACAGCUGGAGCAGGGGGGUGUGGGCAUCCGACGGGAAUACGCAGCCCAGCUGGAGCGGCAGCUGCAGUUCUACACGGAGGCUGCCCGGCGCCUGGGCAACGAUGGCAGCAGGGAUGCUGCAAAGGAGGCACUCUAUAGGCGGAAUCUGGUAGAGAGUGAGCUGCAGCGGCUCCGCAGGUGAGGAGCCCAUGGGGCGGGCAGCCCCCAGAAAGCAGGCAGCAGGCCCUGACACCGGGAAGAGCCAACACAGCCACGGACCAGACAAGCAGACAAUCAGCGGACAAUCGGUUCUGGACUCACCCCUCAUCCAGGCCCCCAGCCCAGCCAGAGCCUCCGUGGCUGCGGGUGUUGGGAACCAUGCCUGCCAGCCAGUAUGUGCCCCUCAUCCAGGCCUGGCUGGGCCCUGGGGAGUCCUGUUUGCACAGCCCAGGGGUGUCCGGCCUCUGGCCCGCCCCGGAGCAGGGAGGGUGGCUGGGACCAAGCCCCGAGGGCCCCUGCAAGCACUUUACUUCCUGUUCCUCCCCAGCCUUAACCCCAAAGCCCUCCUGCACCCCAAAGAAGCCACUGAGGCUGGCCGAGCCCCACUGUCUCCCCAGGGGCGUCGACCUGGCCCAGCUGGGUCCCCAGGGCCAGCACAUGGAAUAAAAUAGCCAGGGCCACACUCAGCCCAGCUCUGUCCUGUCUGUUUCUUGCUCAGACCCUCGGUGGCCAGGCUAGAUCUUCCCACCCACCCCCUGGUUC
RNAcentral lists this long non-coding RNA (1434 nucleotides) under Pan troglodytes (chimpanzee). Its description in RNAcentral is "long non-coding RNA NONPTRT007995". The record is from RNAcentral. Lineage: Eukaryota; Metazoa; Chordata; Mammalia; Primates; Hominidae.